CAACAGUGCAUUAUGUCAACAGAGGGAGAGACUUGAAUGCAGAAACGUACAUUAUUAUUAUUAUUAUUAUUUAGCCAAUGUCUUUGUCCAAGCCAAGGCCAUCUACAACAGAAGAAAGAUUCUUAGAAUAGCACAAUUUGCUACGUAGCCUGAAAAACUCCAGUAAAAAUCUCAGGUGUAGAGAUGGGCCAAAUACUGUGUCAUUAAAAAAACUGUUCCCGGAGAAAAAAGUAAUAAUAAUACUAAUAGUAAUAAUAAUAAUAAUAAUGAUUUCUGGACGUGUACUCUAAAGUAAUGAGGGGAAUGAAAGCGCGCGCUCUCAGUUGAAACUCCGCGCUUACGAGCCUUCCCGUUUCAGUAAGUCGCGCGGCGCUCCGUGACGUCACGUACGCGCGCACUGUACGCGGAACGUUCCUCCGAGCGCGUGCUGCUGGCGCCGUGAGCACAUGGAGAAGGGCUCAAGGUGGAGAAGGGUGGAAAAGUACGUCGUUUCUCUUUCCGGAGACGGUUUAUUAUUUUUCCACGCACAAAGUGGAAUAAUGUGGACAUCUCAGCUCGAGAAGAAAAGCGAACCGAGGGAAGGGCUCCGUACCACUGGGACUGCAUUGAACAGUUGCGGAUGGAUCGAUGGAUCAAUGGAUCGAUGGCUUCAUUAACACUAAGGAUGAUUCGAUUUUUUUCAGAUCUGAAUACAGCCUCUACUAAAAAUAGCACAAGCCCAACCCAUCGCGAAAGACACCAUGGAAAGAAGAUCUGGAAGGAUGGCUUGGAACUCAUCCACGCCUUAGUGGAGGGCCCUGUGAUCUUGGAAGCGGCUGUCAGCCGUAUCGUACUUGUCCCGUUUCCAGUAACCAAGCAGUGAGAUGGCCUCCUGUGCCCCCUGCCUUGCCAGACGGAAACACCGUGACCCUGCUACCCACACCCCCACCCACAAGGGCUUCUCGACUAAGCUGCCACCCACCUGGAGGCCGUGUGACGUUGUCGAAGAUGGUUUCUUUUUUUUUUUUUCCUUCCCCCAUAGAGUGGCAAACCACAGGAACAUAGUUAAAUUCAGAAUAUGAAAAGGCACUGCAGGGCAGGGGUUGGACAACUGUUGGACACGUUGGUUGGAACCUGUAGGCCUUUGGAUUGGAAUGUGUGUAACUGUCUGAGUUGAGGUGUGAAAUACUACAUAGGCUUUUUGUUGACAAGACCAUCAUUUCCCACGGAGUGAACUGUAUCCCCUCCUGCAGACACUACACUGCAUUGUCUGCCCUUUCUACAGUGAUAACGUGCCAAAUAUUUCUGACUCACCUUCGGUUUGUUGGCCCUGCACCGAUCCCAAGACAACGCUUACAAUUCUCUGUCAUAUUUCGUCAAGUUCUGCACCGAACGUGUCUUCGUUGAGUCACUGAUCGCUCAGGAUACUCCAGAGGACGGUUCUUCUCAUCUGACUCCACCCCUGCUAGUCCACUGACUCUCCGGGCACUUGUUGUGUCCAGCACUCUCUAGCUUCCUGGAUGGCCACCAGCCAAUCAGGGCAGAGCAAUAUACUUUGUUCCUGCCCCUCCUCAUUUCCUUGGCUCCCAUGGUUGCGCUGUACGUUAAAACAGUAUGAUGUGUGGCAGCAAGGAUAAGCAAAAAUUUACAGUUAACAUCAAUAAAAGCAGUAUGUUUUAUUGACUGAGAAGAGCA
Molecule: long non-coding RNA, 1674 nt
Organism: Scleropages formosus (Asian bonytongue)
Lineage: Eukaryota; Metazoa; Chordata; Actinopteri; Osteoglossiformes; Osteoglossidae
Source: Ensembl